Corapipo altera (White-ruffed manakin) is the source of this 1353-nucleotide long non-coding RNA. RefSeq lists it as uncharacterized. The record is from RefSeq and is a predicted model, not a curated record. The transcript is spliced from 3 exons. NCBI's taxonomy places the organism in Eukaryota, Metazoa, Chordata, Aves, Passeriformes, Pipridae.
CUCACCUGAGGGAGAGAGAAAAAGGAAAUAUGUUAUUCUUUGUGUGGCUUGAGUAAUGCUGCUUUCAGAAAAGUCUAAGGAAUGCAAACCAACAGGGUCAAAGCUCUUCUAUAGGAAAAUGAUUCUAAUAUGAGGUAUUAUUUUAGGAAAAGCUGUGCUGAAUGUUUUCAGGCCACCAAAGCAUGUGAUCUGACAUAUUGCUGGCAGAGAUCAGCUUGCAGUUGGAGCUUGGAUGGGAUGAGAAGCCUGGUGCUCUGCUGACACUAAUGUUGUCACUGCACAUUGGUCAGGACUCUGCCCUGGUGUCAAAAAUUUCUCUGUUUCUCAGAUUCAGGCUCUGAGCAAAUGUACAGCUCCAGGAUGAGGCUCAUGUUAUUUUAACUUAACUUACAGAUUUCUUUUUGAGACAAAUAUUUGAACAAUUUUCAUCUAGUAAGUGAACCUGAUAUACGAACAAGUCAGCAGCAGCCAUCACCUGUGCACUAUUCACAAAAGGAGUGCCUGACUGCGAGGGAUCAGUGUCCAAGCUGAAGGUAUGAUAUGGGAUCAGUGUGACUAUAACAGUGGUUGGCAUAUUAGAGUUCAAUCUUAUUUUUCUAAACAAACACCUUAAAAUAAACGAUGUGAUGCAGUCCAUUCCUGUUGUAAAGGAGCAGAACCCCUCUUACCCUUCAAGAUUAAUCUAAAGGCGUAAUAUGUGUACAAGCACAUUUUGGGCCUAGCAAAUAUCUAUGACAAGAAAGUCACGCUGCAGUAAAAUAUUUCUGAAGCAGGUAGGCAGCUGAGGCAUUGUGUGUGAGAUGGACUGUGUGAGAUGGACAGUGCUUCCUGAAUGACUUCAAUGGCUUCUGUGUGAUUCAUCUGUCUCAAAGCAGCGAUCAACUCCUGAACUGUACCACCAGAGACCUAAGAGAGAAGACACCAGAUGCUCACCAUCAUCCAGGCUGGUUAGAACUGAAGGGCUCCUCACUGUCCAGGAGGACAGUGUUCUCUACACGUCUGAAUGUUCUUGAUAACUUGUUACAGCCACAUUACCUCAUAGUUAUCUAGCAGAGUUUUCGAUGGAGAAGGGCUCAACCUGAAGGCAUUAUUAAGUAUGCCAAGACCCAGUUUUUGUGCUAGAGUGGACCAGUUUUUGGUAGGAUCAGGCAAUUCCAAUAGUUUGUAAAGCUGCAUCUUGGAACUUUCAUUCAGCUCUCUCAAGUUUCCUGGGGAACAGAGAAAUAUGUUAGUUUAUUAUUUGCAGAAAUCACGCACCAGUUCAUUUCUAAGCAGAAACAAAACUAAACUGAAGAGUAUAUUAGCGUCCAGUCCCAGUGUUUAUAAAUGUAUUGCUGUAAUAUUGAAAAUGUA